AGAGAGGAGUAUCCCCCUGGAGAUCUUUGUAUACCUAAGACCUUCCAAAUCCCCCCUGUAGAUACUGGAACUCCACUAUCAGGUCCCCCCAGAGUAUUCUCUUCCCCAGCUCUCCAAGCUUGUCCUCAUAAGGAAGCUUUUCCAUCUCUUGGAUCAAUUUUAUUGGCCCUUCCCUGGAUGUGCUCUGAGAGGUCCACAUCUGGAUCCUUUACUGAGGACUCCAAAUCUGGAUGCAGUACUCCAGAUAUUCUACUUUCCUUAUGAGGUCACAAGCGACCAUGGCAUGAAACUCAGGUCAACAAGCAAAGGUUUGAAAGCAUUUCUUCACAGCUGCUAUCUGGAAAGUAACUGAACACACCUCUUGAAGUGCUGGGAAUCAGAACGAAAGGUCAAAUUAAGUCCUACAUAUAUCCUGUCAUAAUAUUGCUUGCAGGGAUUAAAUGCAAUUUCAAGUCUUGCUGAACUGGCAACUUCCAGCUUACACAACAAAGCGGAGAUGGGUGUGUAAGAUUUCUCUUUCAGAAGUGACCUGAUUGGAUUACUGAACUUCAUGGUUCUGCUCUUCACAUCUUUCAGUGAGAUGCCUGCAUAACACAGACUAAAAAAGCAUUGUCCAAAUGGAAACUAAGGAGUUGGAAAAAAGUGAAGUACAAUAUGUUUAUAUAUUAAAAGCCUUUUUUUUCUUCAAUAGGCAUCCUCCCAUGGAUGUUUGCGGAAAGAAGGUGAAUUAUUUAAAGGCAUGAUCUCUCAGGUUUUAGUUUUGUCUAUAAUUACUCUUAACUUGUUCUUUAAUGACAAAUUUUAGAGGAAAUUCCUUGAUGCUACAUCUCUUAUAGCAGGGAAAACCUUAUCAGAUUUCAUUUCCUUUAUAGUCUAAUUUCCAGAAUGAUUUCAAAAGUUGACAAAUGACAUAAGUCUUGUUUUGCACCAGUGUUUUAACAUAUGUACUGGACUUCCUCUCAAGUGAAUGUGCCUGCAACUCCACAAAUACAGCACACUCUGUGACAAGAUUAUAGUAACUUUCAAGCAACAAACAGAACGUGCAGGGAGCAAACCUUAGUAGUGCAGGCUAAGAGGCUGGAUGUUCUAACUCAAUUUCUCUUCUCAGCAAGAACUUUUGGAAUAGUAGAAAUGAAAAUUUCCAUGUUAAUAUUUGAAAUACCAUUAAAUGGAAGAAACAACAACAACAACAAAUUCUCAUUUCCAUAUUUGAAAUCUGUUUUGCCACUUUCUGAGGUUUUCUUUACAGUUGCAAUUAAAAUUAAAAUGUCUUAGUUUGCACAGCAAAGAUUUUUUUAAAUACUUUACAGCAUUGGGCCAUCAAAAUAAGUUUUUUCAAAUGCUAUGUGAAACAUACAGACCUUGAACAUCUGGAAGCAGCAUCGCAGAAGAGUUACAUGGCUUUGUAGCUCUUUCUUCUUGCAGUAUUUCCUGUGUCAGGUAAUUCACUGGAUUCUUAAAUAUCUUACUUUGUCUUUUUGUCUAUUUAAGAUUAGUGCUUAUGAAAUUUAAGGAUAUUUAAGGCAAAAUUUAGCAAAAAUGCCAGUAAGUCUAUGAAUAAUUCUGCAGUGAGUGUAAAUUACUCCUCUUUCUUAAUUGCUCACCUUCUUUAAAAUGCCAACUGCUCUAUCAGUAUUACUGAUUUGGUAAAAUUGGAAAAAAAAAAAGAACAGAAUCAUAUUUUUGUUUGUUGCACACAUAUCUACAAGCUGCAUAGACUCUAUCAUUUUGUUAACAUGGUAUACCAACCAUAGACUUAUCAACUUUUCUUAUGGGAAGAUAGCAUUUAUUUAUAUAUUUACAUCUUUAACUACUGCCAGCACUUAUUGCUUGGAACCAUCUUACUUUCCAGACGUAGGUAUAUACUUUAUCAUUUCUCUGUACAUCAGCUUCCUAUCUUGUCACUGCAGCAGAUAAAAGUCUGUUGCUUAGUGUGAGACAAAAAAGCAACAAACUUUUUUUUUUCCUCCUCUAGUAUUAUAGACGCACAAAGAUUAAGAAAAAGCAAGAAAAGCUGCUCACUAACUGAAUACUACUUCCAUAGAACAGCAACUAGAGUUGGAGUGUUUUUUUUCAGGUAGCAUGCUUGGAAACAGAACCAAAUCAAAUGGGCCUCCUUCAGAUAAAUUAAAAAAAAAAAUCAAGUCAAAACAUAUAUGCACCUCAAAAGAAACCAACCAAGAAAAAAAAAAAUCCACAUCAAAACAAAACCACUUCUGUUUUCUAAAGAUAGAGUCAAAAGAUAUGCCAGAAGUCCCAGCCCUUCCUUGAUGGAUUAAAUUGCCUUAAGCAAGAAGAGAAGACCAAAUGUGGCAAAAAAAAAAAAAAAUCUGUGGCAAUUACUGCCAUGUGCUUCUCUGACUCAAGCUGCAAACAACAGAAGAAAACUUUGCAGCUGGCAAAGGCAUUACAAAGAACAAUUAUGCUGCUGUAGUUAAACAUUUUCCAGUUAAGAUAGAAAGGAAAAGAAAGAGCCAAUACAUCAAAAAACCUAAUGUAGUCAAGUCAAGAAUUACCUUAAUUAAAUCUUGAAAUGUUUGUUCUGAAGUAAACUAUCUUCAAACAAAACUAUGAAGGUUUUAGUAUGUCAGAGGCACCUAUUCAUCAUUUCAUGAACACUUUGAAACUACAGCCAUUAAAUUAAAAGAGUGUAUUGCAUUAUACGUGGCAUAAUUUACAGGUCAGUUCAACUACUAAUAAUGUUAAAGCAAUAAAAAAACCUUCAACUUCAGCCUUUGCAGUUGGUGAUAGAACCUCAGUUUUGUGUUAACCUAAAGAAACAUAAUAACAGAUAGCUAAUCUAAUUUCAAAGCAUAAUUUUUUCUGUUCCUUGAAGAUAUUAGUAUUGUCCCCCCCAUUCCAAGGGAAACAGUAAAUAUGAGAAAAAGAAAAACUUCAUACAGUAUUUCCUCCUAAAAUAAAAAUAAUAUUAAAGUAUAAGUUAACACAUCUCAUUUCCUGAGACAUAUCAGGAAACCUGUUCCUAAGACAUUAUGAAGAGUGUGUAAACAUCUCACUUACUCUUUCAUUCUUAAAGUCCU
This is a long non-coding RNA of Lagopus muta (rock ptarmigan), 3041 nucleotides long. RefSeq lists it as uncharacterized. The transcript is spliced from 5 exons. NCBI's taxonomy places the organism in Eukaryota, Metazoa, Chordata, Aves, Galliformes, Phasianidae. The record is from RefSeq and is a predicted model, not a curated record.